RNAcentral lists this ribosomal RNA (254 nucleotides) under uncultured bacterium. RNAcentral describes it as "partial 16S ribosomal RNA". It matches the Rfam family "Bacterial small subunit ribosomal RNA", at positions 524 to 776 of the family's 1533-position model. The record is from RNAcentral.
UACGUAGGGUGCAAGCGUUAAUCGGAAUUACUGGGCGUAAAGCGUGCGCAGGCGGUCUGUUAAGACCGAUGUGAAAUCCCCGGGCUUAACCUGGGAACUGCAUUGGUGACUGGCAGGCUUUGAGUGUGGCAGAGGGAGGUAGAAUUCCACGUGUAGCAGUGAAAUGCGUAGAGAUGUGGAGGAAUACCGAUGGCGAAGGCAGCCUCCUGGGCCAACACUGGCGCUCAUGCACGAAAGCGUGGGGAGCAAACAGG